AUUGAACGCUGGCGGUAUGCUUAAGACAUGCAAGUCGUGCGGUAGGGGCUUCGGCCCUGAGAGCGGCGGACGGGUGAGUAACGCGUGGGAAUCUGCCUGCUAGUGGGGGAUAGCCCGGAGAAAUCCGGAUUAAUACCGCAUACGUCCUAAGGGGGAAAGCCGCAAGGCGCUAGUAGAUGAGCUCGCGUAAGAUUAGCUAGUUGGUGAGGUAAAGGCUCACCAAGGCGACGAUCUUUAGCUGGUCUGAGAGGAUGGCCAGCCACAUCGGGACUGAGACACGGCCCGGACUCCUACGGGAGGCAGCAGUCGGGAAUAUUGGACAAUGGGCGCACGCCUGAUCCAGCAAUACCGCGUGUGUGAAGAAGGCCUGCGGGUUGUAAAGCACUUUCAGUUGGGAAGAUAAUGACGUUACCAACAGAAGAAGCACCGGCUAACUCCGUG
RNAcentral lists this ribosomal RNA (441 nucleotides) under uncultured bacterium. Its description in RNAcentral is "bacterial SSU rRNA". It matches the Rfam family "Bacterial small subunit ribosomal RNA", at positions 30 to 507 of the family's 1533-position model. The record is from RNAcentral.